RNAcentral lists this ribosomal RNA (292 nucleotides) under uncultured bacterium. Its description in RNAcentral is "partial 16S ribosomal RNA". It matches the Rfam family "Bacterial small subunit ribosomal RNA", at positions 505 to 796 of the family's 1533-position model. The record is from RNAcentral.
GUGUCAGCAGCCGCGGUAAAACGUAGGAGCCUAGCGUUAUCCGAAUUCACUGGGCGUAAAGCGCGUGCAGGCGGUUCGGUAAGUUGGAUGUGAAAUCUCCUGGCUCAACUGGGAGAGGACGUUCAAGACUGUCGGACUAGAGGACGGUAGAGGAAGGUAGAAUUCCCGGUGUAGUGGUGAAAUGCGUAGAUAUCGGGAGGAAUACCAGUGGCGAAGGCGGCCUUCUGGGCCGUUCCUGACGCUCAGACGCGAAAGCUAGGGGAGCAAACGGGAUUAGAAACCCCCGUAGUCC